GCUACACAUGCAGUCGACGAGAAGGGAGUGCUUGCAUUCCCGAGUAGAGUGGCGCACCGGUGAGUAACACGUGGAUAAUCUACCUUUGAAUCCGGGAUAACUGUUCGAAAGAAUCGCUAAUACCGAAUGAAGUCUAUGUUUCCUAGGAGAUAUUGAUGAAAGACAGCCUCUUCUUGAAAGCUGUUGUUUGAGGAUGAGUCCGCGCACCAUUAGCUUGUUGGUGGGGUAAAGGCCUACCAAGGCUCUGAUGGUUAGCUGGUCUGAGAGGAUGAUCAGCCACACUGGAACUGACACACGGUCCAGACUCCUACGGGAGGCAGCAGUGAGGAAUUUUGCGCAAUGGGGGCAACACUGACGCAGCAACGCCGCGUGAGUGAAGAAGGCCCCUUGGGUCGUAAAACUCUGUCAAAUGGGGGAG
This 418-nucleotide ribosomal RNA is filed under the name uncultured Desulfobacterium sp. Its description in RNAcentral is "bacterial SSU rRNA". It matches the Rfam family "Bacterial small subunit ribosomal RNA", at positions 48 to 448 of the family's 1533-position model. The record is from RNAcentral. Lineage: Bacteria; Pseudomonadati; Thermodesulfobacteriota; Desulfobacteria; Desulfobacterales; Desulfobacteriaceae.